GGAUCUGUAGCUCAGCUGGCUAGAGCGUUCGAUUCACAUUCGAAAGGUCACAGGUUCGAGUCCUGUCAGGUCCACCA
Molecule: transfer RNA, 77 nt
Filed under: Candidatus Blackburnbacteria bacterium
Lineage: Bacteria; Candidatus Blackburniibacteriota
Description: tRNA-Val
Rfam family: tRNA
About the family: Transfer RNA (tRNA) molecules are approximately 80 nucleotides in length. Their secondary structure includes four short double-helical elements and three loops (D, anti-codon, and T loops). Further hydrogen bonds mediate the characteristic L-shaped molecular structure. tRNAs have two regions of fundamental functional importance: the anti-codon, which is responsible for specific mRNA codon recognition, and the 3' end, to which the tRNAs corresponding amino acid is attached (by aminoacyl-tRNA synthetases). tRNAs cope with the degeneracy of the genetic code in two manners: having more than one tRNA (with a specific anti-codon) for a particular amino acid; and 'wobble' base-pairing, i.e. permitting non-standard base-pairing at the 3rd anti-codon position.
Source: RNAcentral